AGAAAAAAAGCAAAAGAAAGACCCCAACAAGGUGAUACCUUUCCUCCAUCCAGCUCUCAAAUUGCUGUUUCUUCAUCAAUAAAAGUACAUCAAUGCAUUGCUGUUUGUAAAUGGACUUCUUCAUAUCCUGCAUUUGCUAGCACCCGGAGUGAUCAAAAUCAGAGCAGACUGUGUUGUUACUCAUCUUCAUCAUGUCAGAGCUGCCUCAGGAUCUACCUGAUGAUCAUAUGUUAUAGAUACCAAUACUUAUCAGCAAGUGGAAAAAUUUGGAGAUUUUAAGGCUUGGAGGCACCUUUCAAAUGCAAGAAGUCCUUGCCCAAAUCAACAUUCACUGCAAGAACUUUAUUGGAUUGGCUAUUGCAAGAACCCACGUUGAGCAAGAUGAAACAUCAGCUAUUGUCACCCUACUCCCAAACAUAAAGCAAUUGUUUCAUCUUGCUUAGUGAUGAAUUUUUCAAACUUACAAUUAAUGAUUGGCUUAGUGAUGAUUUUGCAGGGCUGCAAAGAACUUGAGUAUUUUGAUGUUAGGCACUGCAUAGGUUUCAACGAGGGUGAUGAUGAGAUAUUGAAGCUUGCUUCUCACAUCCAAACAUUCAAGGAUGAGGGUUCGAUGUUGUAUGAUUAUGAUGAUGACUACUGCCCUACGUAUCGUGUAGACGGCUUCCAUGAUGGAGACUUCUCUGACUAAAGUGUAUUGUAUAAUGUGUUUGCUUGGGAUUGUCAACCUAGACUCAGAUUUAGAAACUCUCCAUUGUGUUGUCUGUAAUGGAUUGUUAUGUAAUGGAAAUAUCUAGGCACUAGCUUGUGCCGCUCUUGAAUUGCUUGAUUUUA
Molecule: non-coding RNA, 831 nt
Organism: Camellia sinensis
Lineage: Eukaryota; Viridiplantae; Streptophyta; Magnoliopsida; Ericales; Theaceae
Source: RefSeq, a predicted model, not a curated record